Molecule: ribosomal RNA, 632 nt
Filed under: Aspergillus foetidus
Lineage: Eukaryota; Fungi; Ascomycota; Eurotiomycetes; Eurotiales; Aspergillaceae
Also listed under: 1 other name
Description: partial 28S ribosomal RNA
Rfam family: Eukaryotic large subunit ribosomal RNA
Source: RNAcentral
UUGACCUCGGAUCAGGUAGGGAUACCCGCUGAACUUAAGCAUAUCAAUAAGCGGAGGAAAAGAAACCAACCGGGAUUGCCUCAGUAACGGCGAGUGAAGCGGCAAGAGCUCAAAUUUGAAAGCUGGCUCCUUCGGAGUCCGCAUUGUAAUUUGCAGAGGAUGCUUUGGGUGCGGCCCCCGUCUAAGUGCCCUGGAACGGGCCGUCAGAGAGGGUGAGAAUCCCGUCUUGGGCGGGGUGUCCGUGCCCGUGUAAAGCUCCUUCGACGAGUCGAGUUGUUUGGGAAUGCAGCUCUAAAUGGGUGGUAAAUUUCAUCUAAAGCUAAAUACUGGCCGGAGACCGAUAGCGCACAAGUAGAGUGAUCGAAAGAUGAAAAGCACUUUGAAAAGAGAGUUAAACAGCACGUGAAAUUGUUGAAAGGGAAGCGCUUGCGACCAGACUCGCCCGCGGGGUUCAGCCGGCAUUCGUGCCGGUGUACUUCCCCGUGGGCGGGCCAGCGUCGGUUUGGGCGGCCGGUCAAAGGCCCCUGGAAUGUAGUGCCCUCCGGGGCACCUUAUAGCCAGGGGUGCAAUGCGGCCAGCCUGGACCGAGGAACGCGCUUCGGCACGGACGCUGGCAUAAUGGUCGUAAACGA